This 190-nucleotide ribosomal RNA is filed under the name Methanobrevibacter gottschalkii DSM 11977. RNAcentral describes it as "partial 23S ribosomal RNA". It matches the Rfam family "Archaeal large subunit ribosomal RNA", at positions 2790 to 2973 of the family's 2987-position model. The record is from RNAcentral. Lineage: Archaea; Methanobacteriati; Methanobacteriota; Methanobacteria; Methanobacteriales; Methanobacteriaceae.
GUUGUCUGAUAGGGCAUUGCCGGGCAGCUACGCGCUAGGUGAUAAAGGCUGAAAGCAUCUAAGCCUGAGGUAUUCCCUGAAAAUAGAUUGCUUAGAACAUGAGUAGAAGACUUGUUUGAUGGGGUAGGGAUGUGAGCUUCGAGGUUUUUUUUAUCCGAGUUGUUGAGUCCGCUGCUUCCAAUUGUUCGCU